This is a non-coding RNA of Triticum aestivum (bread wheat), 135 nucleotides long. The record is from Rfam. NCBI's taxonomy places the organism in Eukaryota, Viridiplantae, Streptophyta, Magnoliopsida, Poales, Poaceae.
UUCAUACUCCCUCGGUCCGGAAAUAUUUGUCAUCAAAAUGGACAAAAGGGGGUGUAACUAGACGUAUUUUAGUUUGAGAUACAUAUCUUUUUAUUCAUUUUGAUGAUAAGUAUUUUCGAACGGAGGAAGUACAUC